Molecule: transfer RNA, 54 nt
Filed under: Anolis humilis (humble anole)
Lineage: Eukaryota; Metazoa; Chordata; Lepidosauria; Squamata; Anolidae
Description: tRNA-Cys
Source: RNAcentral
AAACGGGAGAAGCCCCGGAGCCCUUUAAGGGGCUCUUCUUCAAAUUUGCAUUUU